RNAcentral lists this long non-coding RNA (206 nucleotides) under Helianthus annuus (common sunflower). RNAcentral's name for it is "hypothetical non coding rna". The record is from RNAcentral. Lineage: Eukaryota; Viridiplantae; Streptophyta; Magnoliopsida; Asterales; Asteraceae.
AUGCACGUUAGCAAGUCAAGUCUUAGAAACGACAUUACGAAGUUGUAUUUAGCUAGCUUUGCACAGGAAUAUUCAGGUUACUUUUCAGAAACUAUGGCACAGUUGGAAUAGGAGAACCAUGAAGAGUCGAGUACUUAGUGGGCGUUCAAUUUCUAAAAGACUUAGAUUAUUUGCUUCCGCUGUGCAAUGAAGAUACCAGUCCAGUC